AGGGGGCCCAGAGAAAGGGCCGCCGCUCCGGGAGGGUCUCCCCAUCAGCAUCCGAGGGGCGCUCUCGGAGAGCACGGGGUAGCGCCCCCGUCUCCCUGCCUCCUUCCCUCCCCGCCUCCCCUCUCCUCUCUCCUCUUUUGUUGCCUAUACUCUCGGACACGACACAGCCUUUGCUGUUUCCCCCCUCCCACUUGGGAGCUGGCAGUGUGGACGCAGAGCGAACACAACAGAUCUCUGGAAGAAGCAUGGUCGGAUGCAUCUCAAAAUGAACAAGCUUACAGGGAGUCGACCCAGGACCCAAGUGGACCUCAUCAGAGAUGCUCUGGGAGCUUUGGAAGGACGGGCAUGGCACUCAGCCUGCCAGGAGGGAAACAAGCCGAAGGGAUGCACCUGGGAGAGGCUGCGGCUGGGGGCUGGGGCUUGAUUCUCAUCCCUGCUCCCCCACUUCCCCCGCCGGGGUCUGCACCCGCGCCAGACUUCCCCAGGGCUUCGUGUUCUGAGGGACCCCUCCUGCCUGUCCCCCUGCACACACGGACCCAAAGGGCUUCUCAGCCCCAUGGAGUCCUCUGGGCUCCUUGGCCUGGUCUCACCUGCUGAUAACAGGAAGCACAGAGGGCUGAAGACUGGAAGAAGUGAGGGCAAAACAAAGCAAUGUUAAGGCUAGCUCUCCUUGUUGCAAGAAGAAAUG
This is a long non-coding RNA of Balaenoptera acutorostrata (minke whale), 688 nucleotides long. RefSeq lists it as uncharacterized. NCBI's taxonomy places the organism in Eukaryota, Metazoa, Chordata, Mammalia, Artiodactyla, Balaenopteridae. The record is from RefSeq and is a predicted model, not a curated record. The transcript has 3 exons.